UGGGAGCCAUGUUGCGUUUGAGAGAGAGAGGGAAAGGGAGGAGUGGGGGAGAAAGAGUUUGAUUGCGGGAUUGACGGAUUGAGGAACUUUUCUGCUUUUCUACUUUUCAAAUCUUUACAAUUUUUUACGUCAAUCGAUUCCGUCUUCUUCACUUUACCUUUCAUUUUGGUCUUGUCCCUCACAAAUCUCUGCUUCUGUCCGUCUUCAUUUCACUCUCUUCCUCUCAAAUCUUGUGUUCUUUUUUUCACAUAAUAGUCACGAGCAAAUCUGGUUUUGGUUUAUUUAGAGAUUUUGUUUCCAAUCUCCAUUUGGUGCCUUGCUUAGAUUGGCUCUGCACUCAUCAUCGACGACUCUACCUUCACGAAGGACUCCGCAAAUCCCAAGACCAAUAAAGGGGUUUCUCAAUCUUUUGUCUAGACUGAAGAAAAGGCGGAUGGAGCUCUCGAAAAUUUUAGAUUCGAGAAAAGAGAAAGGUACAGAUCUGCACCUCUGUCUAUAUCGAAGUCCAAAUAGGAUGGAUCUAUGAAACUAUGAAAGCAAAUAUGUGAAUAACAUUUUUUGUGUGAAAGCCUUAAAAUGGAGACAAAAAAGGAAUGAUGGCAAACAUGAAGAGGGCUCUGGUGCGAGGAUCUGCUGCGGCGGCUUUAAAUAAUGAUAAAGGUGCUUUUAGAAGGUUUUAGUGCACUUCAAGGGAUCUCGGGCUCACAAAAAUUUCUGAUGCACAAGGUGUAGAUCACUUGUCAUAUGCACAUACUUGGUAACUUCGACUCCCAUGUCAUC
Molecule: non-coding RNA, 780 nt
Organism: Malus domestica (apple)
Lineage: Eukaryota; Viridiplantae; Streptophyta; Magnoliopsida; Rosales; Rosaceae
Source: RefSeq, a predicted model, not a curated record